Molecule: small RNA, 5763 nt
Filed under: Pan troglodytes (chimpanzee)
Lineage: Eukaryota; Metazoa; Chordata; Mammalia; Primates; Hominidae
Description: retained intron
Source: RNAcentral
UAUUUGAACAUGAGAUGUGGUUACAUUUCUUCUUGAGUAAAAUGACUGUAUCAUUUAACAAUAAUCUUUGUUGCAUCUGCUAUGAACAGUAAUUACAGUUUGAAGUACUUGAAAAUGUUUGAAAAUAAACCAGUGUGACUUAGCUAAAUCUGCUUGGAAAUUAUACCAUGUCUUGAUAUUUUAUUAAAAUAUCAAAAUAUUUCAAUUAUGAACAAAAACUUAGAAACAAAGCUGUUGUGAAAUGCAAAGGUGUUUUUGUUCUGUUGCAGGGGAUUAUUUAUUUCGAUCUCAGACAGAGGUCAUGUUAGAUCAAUUGUGGAUAACUGGCCAGAAAAUCAUGUUAAGGUACUAAUAGCACAACCCUCCUUUUCACAAUGUUUUCUCUUUUCUUGUAAAUUACCUCUAAAUCUCCAAGAACAGUUUUUCAUUGUUGCUCUCAUUUAUUUUGCACUUAUAUACAUGCAGAUUUAGUGCUUUGCAGCUGAAGUGAUGAUAAUAGUAGUAGUUAUAAAAUGGGCUACUGGUAUAAAGUUUGACUCUGAGAAAGAAAUUAGAGCUAGAAUACAAGGUGAGCCCUCUCAGUAUCAGCACCACUGGUGUCUCCUGCCUUCUCAAUCUCCUUUUCUAUUUCACUAAUAUUAUUCUAGGUAAAGAAAAUACAUUAAAAUGCCAUAAAAACUUUUGUUUAUGAAUGGUGUUAGAGAAGUUUGGUUAUGCCUUUUUUUCUUUUAAAUCUAAGAUUUAGAACCUUAGCAAAUAUAAAAACGUUAAAUAUAGCAAAUAUAAGCCCUGGCCUAUUUAGUUAUCUUUCAUAAAAUAAAAUGUUAUAACUUAUUUCAAGAUCUUUGGGUAGGCUUUUGUAAAUUUUAUUGUAGGCAAUAAUCUUACCUGUCUUUAUACUCCUUUCCAAAAUAAACAUUGAAUGAUCGUUGGUUUGAAUACUCUAGCAAAAAUUUGGUCAAAUAAUUAAACUCACAGUAUCAUCUUAAGACCUUCCUUAUAAGUAGGUAUUUUUUUUGUUCUAGACCUUUUUCUUUUUCACAGUUGCUAAGGUUUUUUUUGUUUGGCCUAGGUUAUUGUGUUGGAGUACCAUGCUGUUUAUUUCUAAACUCUUAUUUUUCUCUUAUGGUAAUCUCUCCAUCAGAAUCUUGUUCAUCUCUGCCAUAUUUAAUCUUUCUGAAGAUAUUUAAGUUGGUCCUCUAGUCAGAAGAAUUCUAUUCCUAAACCAAAGUCAGAGGGAAAUCAAAUCUAGUUAAUGUCUCAUAAUACUCAGAAGUCCUAGAAUUUUAAGUAUGCUUGGUUGGUUUACAUUGGAAAUUAGCCAAGAAACAAUUUUAUUUUUAAGAGCAAAGAGUAAAUAUAUAUGAAGUGAAUCAAUCUUUUUAAAAAUGCUUUUCUUUAGUGCCCCAUUUUUGACAACUUUUAAUUUGCAUUUUUUUGUGAUUAAGGCUGUUGUAGUGACUGAUGGAGAGAGAAUUCUGGGUCUUGGAGAUCUGGGUGUCUAUGGAAUGGGAAUUCCAGUAGGAAAACUCUGUUUGUAUACAGCUUGUGCAGGAAUACGGCCUGAUAGAUGCCUGCCAGUGUGUAUUGAUGUGGGAACUGAUAAUAUCGCACUCUUAAAAGACCCAUUUUACAUGGGCUUGUACCAGAAACGAGAUCGCACACAACAGUAUGAUGACCUGAUUGAUGAGUUUAUGAAAGCUAUUACUGACAGAUAUGGCCGGAACACACUCAUUCAGUUUGAAGACUUUGGAAAUCAUAAUGCAUUCAGGUUCUUGAGAAAGUACCGAGAAAAAUAUUGUACUUUCAAUGAUGAUAUUCAAGGGACAGCUGCAGUAGCUCUAGCAGGUCUUCUUGCAGCACAAAAAGUUAUUAGUAAACCAAUCUCUGAACACAAAAUCUUAUUCCUUGGAGCAGGAGAGGCUGCUCUUGGAAUUGCAAAUCUUAUAGUUAUGUCUAUGGUAGAAAAUGGCCUGUCAGAACAAGAGGCACAAAAGAAAAUCUGGAUGUUUGACAAGUAUGGUUUAUUAGUUAAGGGACGGAAAGCAAAAAUAGAUAGUUAUCAGGAACCAUUUACUCACUCAGCCCCAGAGAGCAUACCUGAUACUUUUGAAGAUGCAGUGAAUAUACUGAAGCCUUCAACUAUAAUCGGAGUUGCAGGUGCUGGCCGUCUUUUCACUCCUGAUGUAAUCAGAGCCAUGGCCUCUAUCAAUGAAAGGCCUGUAAUAUUUGCAUUAAGUAAUCCUACAGCACAGGCAGAGUGCACGGCUGAAGAAGCAUAUACACUUACAGAGGGCAGGUGUUUGUUUGCCAGUGGCAGUCCAUUUGGGCCAGUGAAACUUACAGAUGGGCGAGUCUUUACACCAGGUCAAGGAAACAAUGUAUAUAUUUUUCCAGGUAAAUGCCACCAUUAUUUAUGUUAUAGAGCAAUAGUUAAUUAUGUAAAAAUACUUAAUGGAAUUCUUUGGAAUGGGAGAUUGAACUGAGCAACAGUAUUACAGAAUUUUGGUAUAAAUGUACAAGGAAACUCAAGGAAUUCAUCAAAUUCAGCAUGCUCCACUUUCUCUGAAAAUUUAUUCAUAUUGUUAAUUAAAUUUGUUUUUAUUAUAGAAAUAAUAUAUUGCAUGAUUUGUAAAAAUGCAGAGGAACAGAAUGGCACAAAAUUAUGUAACCCUUUCUAUCUCCCCUUGGUGUACCUCCUUAAUCAUACUUCUCAGAACCAUUGUCAAUAAUUUGCUGGGAGUUCUGAUGGUUACCAUCGUGACUGAUAGAUUUAUUUCCCAGGUUCAAGCAGUUCCCCUGCCUCAGCCUCCCAAGUAUCUGGGACUACAGGCAUGCACCACCACACUCAGCUAAUUUUUGUAUUUUUAGUAGAGAUGGGGUUUCACCAUGUUGACCAGGCUGGUCUCGAACUCCUGACCUCAGGUGUUCUGCCCAUCCCAAAGUGCUGGGAUUACAGGUGUGAGCCACCACGCCCAGCCAGGUGUUCUUAUUUUUUAAGAUACACCCAGUAUACUGGUAUCACACCAAAGGAAAUUAAUAAUAAUUGCUUAAUAUCGUUUAUCAUUACCUCAGUUCAACAACUUAUUUUUAUUCCCAAUACCUUUUUUAUUCUAGAAUUGCUCUUUCUAAAUAGCUACUUUUAAAGCAAAAACGGUUACAGUACUCUUUGAGCUUUUUCUGGAGAAUUAUUAGGAUUCCUUUCAAUGUUUCUGCCUUUGUGCUGUAUUUUCCAUAAAUUUCUGGUGAUCCUCAGUUGUCUCUUUCUUUUAAGCAAGACUGUGUUGAGUAAAACAGGAAUUUUGUAUGAUUUUCUUUUGCACUUGUGUCUUUUUUCUUCUGGUAGGUCUUUCCCUGACUAGCUGACAGCAGGCUCUAAUUAAGAUAUGACAAGUUUAUAUAGGCUGGCAUCAGGCAAGCAUGUAUAACUGUUGUCAAAGUAAAGAGGGUAUUUAGUCUGUGAAUAUCCUGGUACUUUUCUAUAUUUUUCUCCUUUUUUUUGCCCCUCGUGUUUUCCUAUAUGUCUCUUGAGACCUAACUUCUAUAAUAGAAACUGUCCUGUCAUCCAUAAUCUCUUUCUAGAACUUGAUAAUGUUCAAAAUUAAUGUGUUCUAUUCAGUAACAUUUCUAUGGCCUAAAAGACAUGAGGGCAGGAAAGGAAAUACUUUUCUGCUGAUUUUAACAAAGCUAUUUUUUUAAACUUUUUUUUUAGUUCCAGGGGUACAUAUGAAGGUUUGUUAUAUAGGUAAAUUGUGUGUUGCAGGGGGUUUCAUGUAUAGAUUAUUUCAUCACCCGGGUAAUAAGCAUGGUACCCAAUAGGUAGUUGUUUGAUCCUUACCCUCUUCCCGCCCUCUACCCUUAAGUAGGCCCCAGUGUCUGUUGUUCCCUUCUUUGUGUCCAUGAGUUCUUAUCACUUAGCUCCACUUGCAAGUGAGAACAUACGGCAUUUGGUUUUCUGUUCCUGUGUUAGUUCACUUAGGAUAAUAGCCUCCAGCUCCAUGCAUGUUACUGCAAAGGACGUGAUCUCAUUCAUUUUUUUGGCUGCAUAGUAUUUUUUUUUAUUUAUACACAUGGUGUAUAUGUGCCACAUUUACUUUAUCCAGUUUACUAUUGAUGGGCAUUUAGAUUAAUUCUAUGUCUUUACUAUUGUGAAUAGUGCUGCAGUGAACAUACACAUGCAUGUGUCUUUAUGGUAGAAUGAUUUAUAUUCCUUUGAGUAUAUAGCCAAUAAUAGGAUUGCUGGGUCGAAUGGUUGUUCUAAAUUCAGCAAAACCAUUUUUUAUAUCAUAUCUGAGUAUUAAGGAAUUUAGCAGUUGAUUAUUUUUAUAUAACACUUUAAAGUCCUAACUUAAAUAACAGCUAUGGAUACCAUAAAUAUAGACAUUAAAAAUGACCUGGCCAGGCAUGGUGGCUCUCGCCUGUAAUCCCAACAUUUUGGGAGGCCGAGGCAGGAGGAUUGCUUGAGGCCAGGAGUUUGAGACCAGCCUGGGCAACUUAGUGAGACCUUGUUUCUUCCAAAAAUUAAAAAAAUUAACCAGGUGUAGUGGUGCACACCCCUAGUCCCAGCUAGUCAGGAGGCUGAGAUGGAAGGAUCGCAUGAGCCUGGGAGGUCCAGGCUGCAGUGAGCCAUCAUCAUGCCAGUGCACUCCAGCCUGGGCAACAAAGUGAGACUGUCUCAAAAAAAUAAAAUAAAAUGACCUGGCAUUUGAGGCAGAAAUGAGCCUAAAAACAGGAGGAUUGGCUGAAAGUCCGUUUAUAAAGCAACUUAAAAAUAAAACUGUUAAUAUUUGAAUGACCUAGUUGAGCAACUAUAACAACCGGAUGAAAAAUUUUUUUAAGACUUUAAAAGGGUCAAAGGGAUAAGAUAUUGGCUCUAAUGGAAUAUUGGAGAAUUCUGGACCAAGGUUAGGGAGGGAACAAAUGCACAGAACAAGCUUUUGAAGCCAGUUUUACAGUGGAAAUAUAGACCAGGAAGAAAGUGGCUAAGAGGUACAGCUGUGCUUUUCAUGGAAAGUGGACAAGAUCGGCACCAUGUCCGAGUCUGGCACUACCUCCCACUCUGGACUGAAACCCUAAAGUGCUGUACCUUGGAUUGGGGGUAUAGUUUGCAGCAGCAAUGGGUGAUUUAGAAAACCUCAAGCCUCUGUUCGGGACUGCCAGUGCCCACAAGUGCCCAGCAGAAGCAAACAAAAAUUUCUCUGAAAUAAGAUAAUGGCAUCCUAGUCCUCAAAUUAUUUUUAUAAAUUUUCAAGUACAACCUAAGUAGAAAAAUAAAAAAAAGAUAAUGAGGCACAUAAAGAGACAUAACAACAGAAGCCAAAACCAGCGAAAACAAGAAAAACAGACACACUGAAACCCUGGAUAUACCGUAAAUGCUAUGAAACAAAUAUGCUUAUUAUGUUUAUAGAGAUAAAAGCCAAUCUUGAAAACUUAAGACAAGUACCACUAAAUUCUAGAAUUGAAAAACGUAGUAAUCUAUAAGAACUGAGUGAGCUGGGUGUAGUGGCUCAUGCCUGUAAUCCCAGCACUUUGCGAGACCAAGGUGGAAGAAUUGCUUGAGCCCAGGAGUUUGAGACCAGCCCUGGCAACGUAGUGAGACCCCCAUCUCUAUAAAAUUAAAAAAAAAAAAAAAUUAGCCAGGCAUAGUGGCAUAUGCCUGUAGUCCUAGCUAUUCAGGAGGCUGAGAUGGGAGGAUCACUCGAGCUUGGGAGGUCAAGGCUGGAGUGAGUCAUGAUUGGGCCACUGCACUCCAGCCUGGGUGAC